CAGCGCCACAAGUGGGGAUCGGUUUUAUUUGGCCUAAAGCGUCCGUAGCUGGUUUGGUAAAUCUCUUGUGAAAUCGUUAAGCUUAACUUAACGGCGUGCAGGAGAGACUGCUAGACUAGGGACCGGGAGGAGUCAGAGGUAUGCUGGGGGGAGCGGUAAAAUGCAAUAAUCCUCAGUAGACCACCUGUGGCGAAGGCGCCUGACUAGAACGGGUCCGACAGUGAGGGACGAAAGCCAGGGGAGCAAACCGGAUUAGAUACCCGAGUAGUCC
This 271-nucleotide ribosomal RNA is filed under the name uncultured archaeon. Its description in RNAcentral is "partial 16S ribosomal RNA". It matches the Rfam family "Archaeal small subunit ribosomal RNA", at positions 477 to 747 of the family's 1478-position model. The record is from RNAcentral.